Molecule: ribosomal RNA, 675 nt
Filed under: uncultured bacterium
Lineage: Bacteria
Description: bacterial SSU rRNA
Rfam family: Bacterial small subunit ribosomal RNA
Source: RNAcentral
AGAGUUUGAUCAUGGCUCAGGAUAAACGCUGGCGGCGUGCUUCAGGCAUGCAAGUCGAACGGACCUUCGGGUCAGUGGCGGACGGGUGAGUAACACGUAAGUAACCUGCCCAGAAGUGUGGAAUAACUAGCCGAAAGGCUGGCUAAUACCGCAUGUGAUGGUUGUUCCCUGGAGCAAUCAUGAAAGGCGAAAGUCGCUUCUGGAGGGGCUUGCGGCCGAUUAGCUAGUUGGUGGGGUAAAGGCCUACCAAGGCUUCGAUCGGUAGCUGGUCUGAGAGGACGGACAGCCACACGGGGACUGAGAUACGGCCCCGACUCCUACGGGAGGCAGCAGCUAGGAAUCUUGGGAAUGGGCGAAAGCCUGACCCAGCAACGCCGCGUGGGCGAUGAAGGCCUUCGGGUCGUAAAGCCCUUUUGCAGGGGACGAUGAUGACGGUACCCUGCGAAUAAGCCACGGCUAACUACGUGCCAGCAGCCGCGGUAAUACGUAGGUGGCAAGCGUUGUCCGGAUUUACUGGGCGUAAAGGGCGUGCAGGCGGUUUGUUAAGUUCAGGGUGAAAGCUCCCGGCUCAACUGGGAGAGGUCCUUGGAUACUGGCAGACUUGAGGAGGGUAGAGGAGAGUGGAAUUCCCGGUGUAGUGUGAUAUGCGUAGAUAUCGGGAGGAACACCAGUGGC